GUAGGUGGUUCGAUAAGCGAAUAGUGAAAUCUGGUGGCUCAACCAUUCAGACUAUUAUUCGAACUGUUGAACUCGAGAGCAGAAGAGGUAGCNUGGAAUUUCUAGUGUAGGAGUGAAAUCCGUAGAUAUUAGAAGGAACACCGAUGGCGUAGGCAGGCUACUGGGCNUGUUUCUGACACNUGAGGCACNGAAAGCCGUGGGGAGCCGAACCGGAUUAGAUACCCGGGUAGUCCACGCCGUAAACGAUGGAUACUAGCUGUUUGGGGUAUCGACCCCCUGAGUAGCGAAGCUAACGCGUUAAGUAUCCCGCCUGUGGAGUACGGCCGCAAGGCUAAAACAUAAAGGAAUUGACGGGGACCCGCACAAGCGGUGGAUUAUGUUCUUUAAUUCGAUGAUAACCGAAGAACCUUACCAGGGCUUGACAUCCAGGGAAGGUCUAUGAAAGUAGACUGUGCCUUUUGGAACCCUGUGACAGGUGAUGCAUGGCCGUCGUCAGCUCGUGUCGUGAGAUGUUAGGUUAAGUCCUUCAACGAGCGCAACCCUUGUGAAUAGUUGUAUUUUUCUAUUCAGACUGCCCCCGGUAACGGGGAGGAAGGAGGGGGAUGACGUCAGGUCAGUAUUUCCCUUACGUCCUGGGCUAGAAACGUGAUACAAUGNCUAGUACAA
Molecule: ribosomal RNA, 666 nt
Filed under: uncultured Candidatus Saccharibacteria bacterium
Lineage: Bacteria; Candidatus Saccharimonadota
Description: bacterial SSU rRNA
Rfam family: Bacterial small subunit ribosomal RNA
Source: RNAcentral